UUGGGGUCAAGCUACUAAGAGUGUACGGUGGAUGCCUUGGCAUCAGCAGGCGAUGAAGGGCGUGGUAAGCUGCGAUAAGCCUCG
This 84-nucleotide ribosomal RNA is filed under the name Patescibacteria group bacterium. RNAcentral's name for it is "partial 23S ribosomal RNA". It matches the Rfam family "Bacterial large subunit ribosomal RNA", at positions 1 to 80 of the family's 2925-position model. The record is from RNAcentral.